GACGAACGCUGGCGGCGUGCUUAACACAUGCAAGUCGAACGGAAAGGCCCUGCUUUUGUGGGGUGCUCGAGUGGCGAACGGGUGAGUAACACGUGAGUAACCUGCCCUUGACUUUGGGAUAACUUCAGGAAAAUGGGGCUAAUACCGGAUAGGAGCUCCUGCUGCAUGGUGGGGGUUGGAAAGUUUCGGCGGUUGGGGAUGGACGCGCGGCUUAUCAGCUUGUUGGUGGGGUAGUGGCUUACCAAGGCUUUGACGGGUAGCCGGCCUGAGAGGGUGACCGGCCACAUUGGGACUGAGAUACGGCCCAGACUCCUACGGGAGGCAGCAGUGGGGAAUAUUGCACAAUGGGCGGAAGCCUGAUGCAGCAACGCCGCGUGCGGGAUGACGGCCUUCGGGUUGUAAACCGCUUUCGCCUGUGACGAAGCGUGAGUGACGGUAAUGGGUAAAGAAGCACCGGCUAACUACGUG
This 468-nucleotide ribosomal RNA is filed under the name uncultured bacterium. Its description in RNAcentral is "partial 16S ribosomal RNA". It matches the Rfam family "Bacterial small subunit ribosomal RNA", at positions 28 to 507 of the family's 1533-position model. The record is from RNAcentral.